Molecule: long non-coding RNA, 1354 nt
Filed under: Sparus aurata (gilthead seabream)
Lineage: Eukaryota; Metazoa; Chordata; Actinopteri; Spariformes; Sparidae
Description: lncRNA (ENSSAUG00010012968.1)
Source: RNAcentral
UCUUCUGUUCUGUUCUGUUCUGUUCUGUUCUGUUCUGUUCUGUUCAUGUUCUGUUCUGUUCUGUUCAUGUUCUGUUCUGUUCUGUUCUGUUCUGUUCUGUUCUGUUCUGUUCAUGUUCUGUUCUGUUCUGUUCUGUUCUGUUCUGUUCUGGUUAUGUUCUGUUCUGUUCAUGUUGUUCUGUUCUGUUGUUCUGUUCUGUUCUGUUCUGUUCAUGUUCAUGUUCUGUUCUGUUCUGUUCUGUUCUGUUCUGUUCUGUUCAUGUUCUGUUCUGUUCUGUUCUGUUCUGUUCUGUUCUGUUCUGUUCAUGUUCUGUUGUUCUGUUCUGUUCUGUUCUGUUUCUGUUCUGUUCUGUUCUGUUCUGUUCUGUUCUGUUCUGUUUUGUUCUGUUGUUCUGUUCUGUUCUGUUCUGUUCUGUUCUGUUCUGUUCAUGUUCUGUUCUGUUCAUGUUCUGUUCUGUUCUGUUCUGUUCUGUUCUGUUCUGUUCUGUUCUGUUCUGUUUCAUGUUCUGUUCUGUUCUGUUCUGUUCAUGUUCUGUUCUGUUCUGUUCUGUUCUGUUCAUGUUCUGUUCUGUUCUGUUCAUGUUCUGUUCUGUUCUGUUCUGUUCAUGUUCUGUUCUGUUCUGUUCUGUUCUGUUUCUGUUCUGUUCUGUUCAUGUUCUGUUCAUGUUCUGUUCUGUUCUGUUCUGUUCUGUUCUGUUCUGUUCUGUUCUGUUCUGUUCUGUUCUGUUCUGUUCAUGUUCUGUUCAUGUUCUGUUCUGUUCAUGUUCUGUUCUGUUCUGUUCUGUUCUGUUCUUUCUGUUCUGUUCUGUUCUGUUCUGUUCAUGUUCUGUUCUGUUCAUGUUCUGUUCUGUUCUGUUCUGUUCUGUUCUGUUCUGUUUCAUGUUCUGUUCAUGUUCUGUUCUGUUCUUUUCAUGUUCUGUUCUGUUCUGUUCUGUUCUGUUCUGUUCUGUUCUGUUUCUGUUCAUGUUCUGUUCUGUUCUGUUCUGUUCUGUUCUGUUCUGUUCAUGUUCUGUUCUGUUCUGUUCUGUUCUGUUCAUGUUCUGUUCUGUUCUGUUCUGUUCUGUUCUGUUCUGUUCUGUUCAUGUUCUGUUCUGUUCAUGUUCUGUUCUGUUCUGUUCUGUUCUGUUCAUGUUCUGUUCUGUUCUGUUCAUGUUCUGUUCAUGUUCUGUUCUGUUCAUGUUCUGUUCUGUUCAUGUUCAUGUUCUGUUCUGUUCUGUUCAUGUUCUGUUCUGUUCAUGUUCUGUGUCACAUACAAAGAUUUUAGUCACAGAGCAGCAGAACAAAACAAAGAGGAAGUACGAGAUGAAACGUGACUAACAGUGACUUUAUUUACCUGAAUAAUAUCAACUCAAAAC